AUUAUUUAUUUUUUUUUUUGAAAAAAAAUUUAAAAAAAAUUAAAAAGACAAAACAAACAAUGUUUUCCAAGCUGCUACUGCUAAGUUAUUUGUUUACCUGUUGCGUGAGGUUGACAAGGGGUUAUGUCGUGAUGAACAUGAAGCCAUCGAAAUUGAAAAAUUUCGCUCAGAACAAGUUCCCAGAGAUUCCAAAUGAAGGCUA
This 202-nucleotide non-coding RNA is filed under the name Vaucheria litorea. The record is from RNAcentral. Lineage: Eukaryota; Xanthophyceae; Vaucheriales; Vaucheriaceae.